GUCAGGAUGGCUGAGCAGUCUAAGGCGCUGCGUUCAGGUCGCAGUCUCCCCUGGAGGCGUGAGUUCGAAUCCCACUUCUGACA
Molecule: transfer RNA, 83 nt
Filed under: Pangasius djambal
Lineage: Eukaryota; Metazoa; Chordata; Actinopteri; Siluriformes; Pangasiidae
Description: tRNA-Leu
Rfam family: tRNA
About the family: Transfer RNA (tRNA) molecules are approximately 80 nucleotides in length.
Source: RNAcentral